Long non-coding RNA from Ruditapes philippinarum (Manila clam), 806 nucleotides. RefSeq lists it as uncharacterized. The record is from RefSeq and is a predicted model, not a curated record. The transcript has 2 exons. Lineage: Eukaryota; Metazoa; Mollusca; Bivalvia; Venerida; Veneridae.
CAAGCGAAGAAAAAUGUUUUAUUGGAAGUGAUAAACUACAUAAAAUGGCUUCAAACAAAAUGCGGUCAAAGUCAAGAGAUACAGAAUCAACUUAAACGCCUUUUUGUUGAUUUGAUAAAAUCGGCAGUAACAUUGAAACGCUUAAAAGAUCGAACAAAAGCAACAAAGGUUGACAAAAACACAGACAGUAAACAGAACACCACAACAUCAUGUGCAUAUACGGAAUGAUAUAUUAUACUAACUACGUAUAGAUAGACUCAUUCAUGCAACAACAUUAAAAUGUUUAUAGUUGAACUAUUUUGUAUGCCAUGCAAUAGCAAUGCUAAAUAAUGGUAGCCACGGAAGGCAAUCUGCAAAGCAUAAAUAUGAGUAUUUUUAUAAUCCUACGGUAAAGUGACUUUAUUUUAAGUCCAGGAAUUGCUUUUACAUUUGUUACUUGAUUGAAUGCAUGUGAUGCUCUAUACUCUAUACUGAUUUUCCUGUGUAUGUCGGCUGUCAAAUUAUAUAUAGUUCGUAUCAAUGAAACUUGAUAAAUGACUAAUUCAAGUAAAUGAAAAAUGUUUCCAUUUUUUAAUGACAAAGGUAUAUUUUGAACAAUACAUUUGAAAAGCUGACUAUAAAGUCAUUCAAAUGGUGUUAGAUUUACAUAAUUGUUCUUUAUACAUGUUAUAUGUUUACUGCUAUAUCAAGUGCUAAUUUGCCAAUGUUUUAUUGCAUAUAUUUGACUUCUAACACACAGUCGAAAUAAUAAAGAGAUAUGAUCGUUAAUUUAAUACAUAUUUGCCAAUAAACGUUUUUGCAAAUUA